This 492-nucleotide ribosomal RNA is filed under the name uncultured bacterium. RNAcentral's name for it is "partial 16S ribosomal RNA". It matches the Rfam family "Bacterial small subunit ribosomal RNA", at positions 29 to 507 of the family's 1533-position model. The record is from RNAcentral.
AGUGAACGCUGGCGGUAGGCCUAACACAUGCAAGUCGAACGGCAGCACAGUAAGAGCUUGCUCUUACGGGUGGCGAGUGGCGGACGGGUGAGGAAUACAUCGGAAUCUACUUUUUCGUGGGGGAUAACGUAGGGAAACUUACGCUAAUACCGCAUACGACCUACGGGUGAAAGCAGGGGAUCUUCGGACCUUGCGCGAUUGAAUGAGCCGAUGUCGGACUAGCUAGUUGGCGGGGUAAAGGCCCACCAAGGCGACGAUCCGUAGCUGGUCUGAGAGGAUGAUCAGCCACACUGGAACUGAGACACGGUCCAGACUCCUACGGGAGGCAGCAGUGGGGAAUAUUGGACAAUGGGCGCAAGCCUGAUCCAGCCAUACCGCGUGGGUGAAGAAGGCCUUCGGGUUGUAAAGCCCCUUUGUUGGGAAAGAAAAGCAGCAGGUUAAUACCCCGCUGUUCUGACGGUACCCAAAGAAUAAGCACCGGCUAACUUCGUG